GAUGAACGCUAGCUACAGGCUUAACACAUGCAAGUCGCGGGGCAGCAUGGGGGUUGCUUGCAACUCCCGAUGGCGACCGGCGCACGGGUGAGUAACGCGUAUCCAACCUGCCCUUCACCACGGGAUAACCCGGCGAAAGUCGGACUAAUACCGUAUGUUGUCCAUUGACGGCAUCCGAUUUGGACGAAAGGCUUUGCGGUGAAGGAUGUGGAUGCGUCCGAUUAGCCAGACGGCGGGGUAACGGCCCACCGUGGCUACGAUCGGUAGGGGUUCUGAGAGGAAGGUCCCCCACACUGGAACUGAGACACGGUCCAGACUCCUACGGGAGGCAGCAGUGAGGAAUAUUGGUCAAUGGGCGUAAGCCUGAACCAGCCAAGUAGCGUGCAGGAUGACGGCCCUAUGGGUUGUAAACUGCUUUUAUGCGGGGAUAAAGUGGCCCACGUGUGGGCUUUUGCAGGUACCGCAUGAAUAAGGACCGGCUAAUUCCGUG
RNAcentral lists this ribosomal RNA (490 nucleotides) under uncultured bacterium. RNAcentral describes it as "partial 16S ribosomal RNA". It matches the Rfam family "Bacterial small subunit ribosomal RNA", at positions 28 to 507 of the family's 1533-position model. The record is from RNAcentral.